GUGUCGUAAAAUUCGAUGUCUGUAAAAAAAGAAACAAAAAAGAAAAAAAAAAAAAAUUAUUUCGAAUAUGGAAUGGUGGUCUCGACGAUGUUUUUGUGAUUUCGUAAGUCAUUUAAAAAUAUUCGACAGUCGAUGGCAAAGAGUCGUCGUUUUGAGAGAGAAAGUGAGAGCUAGAAAACACUAAGAGAAAUUGUAUAAGCUAAUUAUUAAAAGAUAUAUAUAUAUAUAUAUGUUCACUGUUGACCUUUUAUAUAUAUAUAGAUUGUCAUUUAUCAAUUUAUAAUUAACAAAAUGCUUUCUGAAUUGUAAAACUUGAUUGUCAAAUAAUCUCCGUAAAAGGUAAUCAGUCAAAAAAUUCUUAGAAAGCGUGCGACUACGCCAGUGUGCAUACUUGCGCUUGCAUGUGUGCACACAUACUUAUGUACUUACUUACACACGUUUGUUAUUUAGCGGCGCUUGGUAAUAACGUGACAGGCAAAGGUAUUCGAGCUAGGAGCAAGGAAUCCCAUUCCGUUUACUUCGAUGAUGGAAUUCCAAUGGCAGAUUUAAUGAACGGUCGCAAUAAAGUUCCGAAAUGUCGGUGGUAAGGGUGAUUACGAGACUCGAAGACGUCGAUCUACGUUGUGUGUGCCGAAGAGGAGAAUUCGUAUUAGGCACAACUUUUACCACUAUUGUACUCCAGUCAUCCUGACGGCGCACAGUAUCGUGACAACGACCUUGCGGACAUCUGCCCACGAGAAAUGGCCCUUAGUCAUCGUAGGAAUGCUGACGGACAUAUUCUCGAUCCACUUCCUGUAUCAGUGAGAACUAAAAAUACCACCACAGGUUUCACCAUUCGAAUCGUUUUGAAAUUACAAUUAUUACAUUUUUCAUGAAUCUAAGAAUAACUCGGAUAAGUCAGAUAAUUAACGCAUCAGAAAAAAGGGCAUCUUUAAUUUCAGUUUUAAUAAUUCAGUUUGAAUGCAAUACUCUUAUCACAAUAAUGAUUUUGUUAGAGAAAUACGUAUACUUCUGAAAGGUUUUGAACUAUUUAUUUAUGUUAGAAACGAUGCGUUAUUUUAACUUUCGAAUAAUAAAUAUUAUAUGAAUGAACGAUGGAAUACAAUUUACAAAUUAUGGACCAUCAGACGCGACCCAGACUACAUAUAAAAAUUAUUCUAAAUAUUCGGUCGAUGCACCAGAGUCAAAAAUAACUUCAAACGUUACUCCGAUUCUCGAUGUGUCUCGUUUCCUCUGUUUCUCUCUUUCUCUCACUCAUCCCAACUCGGCUGCAUUCGCAGAAUUCACAAUAUCUUUGGACAUUACAGACUAUCUCUUGACCGAGUUCCAAAUUGUUCAUAUCAUAUUUGUAUUUUCUUUCUCUCUUUCUCGAAACGAAACAAAAUUUCUUCGAUAUAUGUUUAUAUUAAUAUGUCACGUACAAAGUGAAGGUAGGCUUCGUUAAAUUAAUAUUUUCAAAUUUAAGGUUAUAAAAUAAUUUUAAUUUUAAUUGAAAAGAUAAAGAAUGAAUUUAAUUCGAAAUUUCUUUCGCAAAUUUGUCCCACUUUUUUAAAUCUUCCCAUCGCCAUUAUUAUAAUGCAAUUUAAUACACCUGGAUCUCUUUUUACACGAUUUAUAUUUACACGCUUUUUUAACACGUAUUAUUCGCACGUUUUACUUAUAUUUAUAUGGUAUCAAGAAUAUUAAUUAGUUUGUAGAAAAUGU
Molecule: long non-coding RNA, 1704 nt
Organism: Vespula pensylvanica (western yellowjacket)
Lineage: Eukaryota; Metazoa; Arthropoda; Insecta; Hymenoptera; Vespidae
Exons: 3
Source: RefSeq, a predicted model, not a curated record